GGGUGCGAUCAUGCCAGCACUAAUGCAUCGGAUUCCAUUAGAACUCUGAAGUUAAGCGUGCUUGGGUGAGAAUAGUUCUAAGAUGGGCUUGUCUUAUGACUUUCAUAGAUACCGGCUAGUGGCAUGCC
Molecule: ribosomal RNA, 128 nt
Organism: Cephalotus follicularis
Lineage: Eukaryota; Viridiplantae; Streptophyta; Magnoliopsida; Oxalidales; Cephalotaceae
Source: Rfam